AUUGAACGCUGGCGGCAGGCCUAACACAUGCAAGUCGAACGAGUGGCGGACGGGUGAGUAAUGUCUGGGAAACUGCCUGAUGGAGGGGGAUAACUACUGGAAGCGGUAUCUAAUACCGCAUACCCACAGAUGUGCCCAGAGGGGAUUAGCUAGUAGGUGGGGAAAGGGCUCACCUAGGCGACGAUCCCUGGCUGGUCUGAGAGGAGGACCAGCCACACUGGAACUGAGACACGGUCCAGACUCCUACGGGAGGCAGCAGGGGGGAAUAUUGCACAAGGGGCGCAAGCCUGAUGCAGCCAUGCCGCGUGUGUGAAGAAGGCCUUCGGGUUGUAAAGCACUUUCAGCGAGGAGGCGUUACUCGCAGAAGAAGCACCGGCUAACUCCGUGCCAGCAGCCGCGGUAAUUC
Molecule: ribosomal RNA, 406 nt
Filed under: uncultured bacterium
Lineage: Bacteria
Description: partial 16S ribosomal RNA
Rfam family: Bacterial small subunit ribosomal RNA
Source: RNAcentral